Culex quinquefasciatus (southern house mosquito) is the source of this 901-nucleotide long non-coding RNA. RefSeq lists it as uncharacterized. The record is from RefSeq and is a predicted model, not a curated record. NCBI's taxonomy places the organism in Eukaryota, Metazoa, Arthropoda, Insecta, Diptera, Culicidae. The transcript has 2 exons.
AGAGAGGGAGGCUUCGUGGCGGCAAAAUCACCAUCGGUCAUCCUCUUUUCCUUCUGGACGUUCUAGUGCGAAGUUCUAAAACACUCGGUAGAUUCGAAAAUUUUCUAAGUGUGGUUAGAAAAGCAAGUGGUUAAGUGAAGCUAGAUUCCAAAUUGACUCUGAGCAAAUCUGUGCAGUUUCAGGACCUUUUUUGUUUCCUUGGUUUAAGCGGAAUUCCGGGUUGACUGCCGGUAAUUCCCGCAAGCAACAUACCCGGACACUGCGGUGCCCGGAAGUCGCACUUUUGGUCUCUGCUACGAAGCUUGCGCUGAGUAGCAUCAACGUCAAAGAGACAACGCUUCUCACCGUGCGCGGUGAUCACCGUAAAAGAAGCUUUUCACUCGGAUUAAAGCAUCCUAAUCAUCAAGGAGUGCCCUUCCGCCGGAACUACCCACGGUACGACCGGUUCAACAAAGGAAGAAGACGUCCAGGGGUGUGAUCGAACACCCAAAUAGCUUGCAGUAGCUGUACCUACACGAGCUGACGGAGCAGCAUACCCAGCCACAACCCAGAGGUCCUGCGCUAUUGCGCUAACGCGUGGACCUAUCCAGCAAACAAUUUGGCGCAGCGCGCUAGCCGUUGCUUUGCUGGGAACCCCUGCAUGAUCCCGCCUAGAUCACCAGUACCUGCCUGCCGCUAGAUGAGCGGCGGCCCCUGUUCCAGCCUGCAUGUCCAGCGCGGACGUGUAAGCCAAAGACCCGCCACGUGGACGCACCACGUGUACACGAUCGUUCGAGGCCUCGACAAACGGAUAAAUCCGGGUAAGACAAACUUGUGAAAACUCUAUGUUUGAUUCCUUUUGCCUAAGAGUAGUAGUAUAGUAGUGCGCAUGUGGGUCAGAAUAAACUGUGCAAAAUAUGAA